RNAcentral lists this long non-coding RNA (270 nucleotides) under Vigna radiata. RNAcentral's name for it is "long non-coding RNA (VRAD_LNC016822)". The record is from RNAcentral. Lineage: Eukaryota; Viridiplantae; Streptophyta; Magnoliopsida; Fabales; Fabaceae.
UUCUUUUUUACUUCACUUAUUUAUCUAAUUGUCAUGCAAACUUUCUAAUUUACCCUUAACCCAAUCCCUUGGUGAAAAGAGCCUAUUAUUAAUUACCGGCUUGCUAUCCCUAGCCUCCCCUGAUAACCAAUAAUGCAAUGCGAUCGGAAGCAAAUACAAUUGACCGUCCUACCCCUAUCCCUAGGCGAUAUUGGCAUAAUCAAGGAAUUUCCCACCAGUUCAUGACAUUACCAUACGUCCCCAUAUCGAUAAAGACAAACAUCUUUUACU